Molecule: unclassified non-coding RNA, 169 nt
Filed under: uncultured Plectosphaerella
Lineage: Eukaryota; Fungi; Ascomycota; Sordariomycetes; Glomerellales; Plectosphaerellaceae
Description: sequence contains ITS2
Source: RNAcentral
CAACCCUCGAGCCCCCGUGGCCCGGCGUUGGGGAUCUGCCACGGCAGGCCCCUAAAACCAGUGGCGGACCCGAAGGGCCCUCUCCUUUGCGCAGUAGCAUCAGCCUCGCAUCGGGAGUCCUCGGCGUCCUGCCUCUAAACCCCCUACAAGCCCGCUCCGGCGGCACCAA